This 497-nucleotide ribosomal RNA is filed under the name uncultured bacterium. Its description in RNAcentral is "partial 16S ribosomal RNA". It matches the Rfam family "Bacterial small subunit ribosomal RNA", at positions 30 to 523 of the family's 1533-position model. The record is from RNAcentral.
AUUGAACGCUGGCGGCAUGCCUUACACAUGCAAGUCGAACGGUGACAGGUCUUCGGAUGCUGACGAGUGGCGAACGGGUGAGUAAUACAUCGGAACGUGCCUAGUAGUGGGGGAUAACUACUCGAAAGAGUGGCUAAUACCGCAUGAGAUCUACGGAUGAAAGCAGGGGAUCGCAAGACCUUGUGCUACUAGAGCGGCCGAUGGAGGAUUAGGUAGUUGGUGGGAUAAAAGCUUACCAAGCCGACGAUCUGGAGCCGGUCUGAGAGGCCAACCAGCACAACGGGACCUGGAAACCGCCCAAGACUCCACGGGAGGCAGCAGUGGGGAAUUUUGGACAAUGGGCGCAAGCCUGAUCCAGCAAUGCCGCGUGCAGGAUGAAGGCCUUCGGGUUGUAAACUGCUUUUGUACGGAACGAAAAGCCCCGGGUUAAUACCCUGGGGUCAUGACGGUACCGUAAGAAUAAGCACCGGCUAACUACGUGCCAGCAGCCGCAGUAA